GGCCAUCAGAAUCUGAUCUACCAUCACCUGCAAAGACAGAAAUAGAUCAUUCCUCUCAUGGUUUUGUUACUAUCUAAAUACAUAGAAAUAGAGGAGAUCUCUCUUGAAACAUUGCAACGAUUCAGAACAGAUAGUUCAAUUAAAUAAGGGAACACACAAUAAAACACACC
Molecule: non-coding RNA, 170 nt
Organism: Cicer arietinum (chickpea)
Lineage: Eukaryota; Viridiplantae; Streptophyta; Magnoliopsida; Fabales; Fabaceae
Source: RefSeq, a predicted model, not a curated record